GGCUCAGUAACAAGUAGUCAAUCUGCCCUAAGGACGGGUACAUCCUCGGGAAACUGAGGCUAAUGCCCGAUGCUCCAUCUGUGCUGGAAUGCUUGAUGGGGAAAAUGCGCGGUGAAUUGUAGCCGUUGCGCCUUAGGAUGAGACUGCUCCUGAUUAGGUAGUUGGUGAGGUAACGGCUCACCAAGCCGAUAAUCAGUAGGGGCAAUGGGAGUUGGCGCCCCGAGAAGGGCACUGAGACAAGGGCCCUAGUCCUACGGGAUGCAGCAGGCGCGAAACCU
This 278-nucleotide ribosomal RNA is filed under the name uncultured archaeon. Its description in RNAcentral is "partial 16S ribosomal RNA". It matches the Rfam family "Archaeal small subunit ribosomal RNA", at positions 87 to 349 of the family's 1478-position model. The record is from RNAcentral.